GGUUCGGUAGCUCAGUUGGUAGAGCAACGGACUGAAAAUCCGUGUGUCGGCGGUUCGAACCCGCCCCGAACCA
Molecule: transfer RNA, 73 nt
Filed under: Bacteroidota bacterium
Lineage: Bacteria; Pseudomonadati; Bacteroidota
Also listed under: 3 other names
Description: Bacteroidetes bacterium tRNA-Phe
Rfam family: tRNA
About the family: Transfer RNA (tRNA) molecules are approximately 80 nucleotides in length. Their secondary structure includes four short double-helical elements and three loops (D, anti-codon, and T loops).
Source: RNAcentral